This 450-nucleotide ribosomal RNA is filed under the name uncultured bacterium. Its description in RNAcentral is "SSU rRNA". It matches the Rfam family "Bacterial small subunit ribosomal RNA", at positions 26 to 518 of the family's 1533-position model. The record is from RNAcentral.
AGAGCGAACGCUGGCGGCAGGCCUAACACAUGCAAGUCGAGCGCCCGUAGCAAUACGGGAGCGGCAGACGGGAUAGUAACACGUGGGAACGCGCCCUUCGGUUCGGAAUAACUCAGGGAAACUUGAGCUAAUACCGAAUACGCCCUUACGGGGAAAGAUUUAUUGCCGAAGGAACGGCCCGCGUCCGAUUAGCUAGUUGGUGGAGUAAAGGUCUACCAAGGCGACGAUCGGUAGCUGGUCUGAGAGGAUGAUCAGCCACACUGGGAUUGAGAACGGCCCCAGACUCCUACGGGGGGCAGCAGUGAGGAAUUUUCGUCAAUGGGAGCAACCCUGAACGAGCAACGCCGCGUGCAGGAAGACACUUUUCGGAGCGUAAACUGCUUUUCUCGGGGACGAGUAAGGACGGUACCCGAGGAAUCAGCCCCGGCUAACUACGCGCCAGCAGCCGAC